CCAUCAAUUUAUAAGUAUACAUUCUAGAAUGUGGGAAAUAAAAUUAGUGUGCCCUACUUAAUGGAGAUAUCCUUUUAAAUUACUUUUUUUUAAGUCUACUGGUUAUAUUGCAGCUGUGAUGGCUGGGGUUUAAACAGGCAUUUAAAUAAUAAGGGAAAAUCAUGAGUUGUGGAUUUCGAAACAAAAAGUUCGAGGACACUAGUUCCUUUGUGCAUGUGAAACAACAAAAACAAAGUUAGAAAGAGAUCAGUACAUUGACUCUUAAAUAACACAGGACCCCGUAUAACUUUUGACUCCCCCAAAACUUAAACUACUAAUAGCCUACUGAUGACUAAAAAUUUUCCCAGACUACUGAUGACUAAAAGCUUUCCAAAUAAAAAUUAACAUGUUUUGUAAGUUACAGAUAUAUCUACAUAUAUUUUAUACAUUCAUGCCAUAUCUAACUUUUUCAAAAGUUAUUUUUUUUAUAUUUCUAGGCCACAGAGUUCAUAUGUGAAUUUUUUUCAAAUUGUUGCAAGUCUGCAAAAUUUUUCCCAAUGUAUUUAUUGAAAUAAAUCCAUGUAUAAGUGGACCUACAUGGCUUAAAACCAUGUUGUUCAAAGGUCAAAUAUAAAAAAAUAAAAUAUGUCAUUUUUAUUUUUUGCUCCUCUUGGAAAUUUUUGGUAAAAAUGUUCUUGACAGGAAUUCCAGUUGGGUUUUCUUGAUGUGAGUGGAAAUGUUAUCAGCUAUUUUCCAAGUACUUGCAUUAAUGAAUAGACUGGCAGUGAGUUGCCCAGAUCUUUGGGCCAAAAAAGAUAGAUAUUUCAGUUGACAAUUAUAGGCAGUUGAUAGAGUUUGGAAGAAGUAUUUAAAUGUUAUCACUAAGAUACAACAGAAAUAAUAUAAGAUUCUAAAAAAAAAAAACUGAAUAAGUGAAAGAACAGGGAAAGUGAUGAGAAAUCACAAAAUUUUAGCUUGACUGAAAAAAAUUCAUUUAUGAAAAGUAAUUUCAGUCAUCCCACCAAAGAAUUAUCUUCCCACAGUCCUGAUUCAUUAGUUUUUGAGUUUCAAAUGAGUAGAAAGCAUUAUUUAUAUAAAAAUCAAUAAAAUUACCUUUUAGCCUUUAAUUAGAUGUAUCUCAAAAUUGUGUUCCAUGGAGUGCAAUACAAUGUUUGUGUAUACAUCUAAACUAAGAUAGGAAUGAGAGAGAGAGGGGAGAGAGAGACAGAAUAUAAACAUGUCAGGGAGAAAUGCAUAAAAAUCCAUUUAUCCAGGGAUUCCUGCCUCUGAGUUGGAUAGUGUAGCUUUGCCACACCAAACCCCGUUUUAAAAAAUUUGGAUUAAAUACAGGAGUCACAUGCUCGAAGAUAUCAGAGAGCUGUUGAGCAAUGAGAACUGGUGGGGCUAAGAACUGGAAGAGAGAAAGUGAGGACUAUUUGACUGUUGUGAGAGAGAGAGAGAUUAGAAAUUCAGGAUGCUCUGUUGCAAUGAAUAUUUCAGGAUUCCUCUUUUUUGAUGAAAGGCCUGAAGUGACAGAAAUGAAAGGGAGAUUGACCCAACCUUACCAGCUUUGCAAAACAGCCUUGACUCAGCACAAUUACUGAUCAACAAUUUAUUUUUGGAAUAUCAUAAAAAAAUUAUUAGGCAUACAGAAGACCACAAAACCAAAAAUCAAAUGAAAAUGGAUAAUAGAAACAGACUGAUAAUGAUGGGACUACCAGAAUUGGCUGAAAAGUACUCUAAAUAAACUGUCAUUUUAAUGUUCAAUAUAGGAAAUGAGGAUAAAAUUAAUAAAAAUAAAAUUUUCAUAGAGAAAUUGGAAUCUAUAAACUUAUUUUAGGUAAAGCAUGCAGAUGAUAAGAUGAUUACUUUCAAAUAAAGUUCAGAGUCAAAAAACUUUAAAUAUGAAAUGGCAUUUUAGUGAGGUUGGGAAAAAUCAGCUAACACAGGGGGGAUGCCAGUAGUGGCAGAAUUAGUAAUGGAAAGAUUUUUCAGGCAAUUAUAAGAAGUUUAAUAUCGAGUUCCUGAUGAAAUACAUCUGCUAAUGACCUUGAAGCCUGUUUUUUUAUCAGUGAGAAUUAGGGGGCUAGAAGACUGUCAAAACACUGGUAGCAGGUAUUUCUGAAAGUUGAUAAAGGUUGCUUUUAGACUCUAUAAACAAAUAAAAUUAAUAAUAAUUUUAACUUAUUCAAAAUAUGUCUCAUUGGCAAUAAGAAUAAUGGUUUAGAGCCAAAAUAAUUCAAGUCAUGUCAAAUUUUGCCACUUUCCUUCUUUUUAUUUCACCUUGAAUUAUUUUUUUUUCCUUGAGUUACUAAGUUCCAAGACGAGGACUAUGCAACAGACAUAAUUGACUUUUUGGUUUCGACAAAACAUUUGAUAAAAUAACCAUGAUAUUUUUGUUUGUUUGUUUGUUUCGCUUUUUUUAGGGCUGUACCUACUAGGGGUUUAAUCAGAGCUGCAGCUGCCAGUCUAUACCACAGCUACAGCAACCUGCGGACCAAGCCAUUAUCUGCCACCUACAUCACAGCUCACUGCAAUGCCAGAUCCUUAACCCACCAAGCGAGGCCAGGGAUCAAACCCUCAUGUUCAUGGUUACUAGUCGGGUUCCCUUCCACUGAGCCACAACAGGAACUCCAACUAUGCCAUUUUCAAUUGUAGAUGGAUGCAAUGAUAGUAUUUCAAAAUGGAUUGAGAGUCAUCUAUAAAUAAUUUUGAUUGUCUGUGUCAGUCUGAACUUUCUCCUUAGCCAUUCUUUGUUACAGUCAUGCUGUUUUAAAUGAAUAAGGAUCCACAUAUCAUAUUUAUAUUUGAAGAAAAAACAAAUAGAGCAGAAGAAGCAUGACAUAUUUUCUUAAUGUUUUAUUUCAAAAUAAUCUUAGUAGGCUUGGGAAUAGAUGCCUGAAAUGAAAAUGAUAAUAUUCUAUAAUAAAGUAUCUAAAAUAAUGUGUCUCAGUUCUAACUAAACAAAAACAGCUUAAUGCAAAUAUAGCCUGCCAAAAGUUCAUAUAUACUAUUUUGGAUUGACCAAAUGUCAUUAUAAAUACUGGUGGGGGUAUAUUUUAUGAGCUGGGCAUAAUUUUACCUCAUGUUAGAAUAACAACAUUUUAAAAAGUGAUACUCUGGUUAAUUCUGGGUAUUCCAUGCAAGAGGGCUGGCGGUUAACCAGAAAAUAUUCAGAAGUAUUUGACAGGAUAAUGAAAUAAAGAAGACCACAAUAGGAAGAAUUGACAAUGAACUGAUAUCAAAAAGGGAAUGGUAUCAAUUAAAAAAUAUUUUGUUAAAACAUAUUACAUUAAAAAAAUGUAAUGAACUAUGUGAAAUUUUCCUAAUCAGGAUAAGUAAUCAUUAAAAUGUUUUUAUAUUUGAUUUUGCUGUUUCAAUACCUUUCUUCUUUAUCUACAAAGCUAUACAUGUAUAUCCAUAAAAGGAAGAAGUUACUACACAAUUCUUAAACUUAUGAAUACUGGUAUAAAAUGCAAAUAUCUCUUAUUAGAUUGUCUUCUUCUUUAGAACUGUUUAAAUAUGCUACUACUAGAUGUUACACUAAAAGCCUAUGUCUAUGUCAGUAUAUUUUAUUUUAUUUCUUACUAGGUUCAAAGAGUAGAAGAAAAAAUUAGUUUACUCUGGCUGAGAAAAAAUUAUAUAAUAAAAUGCAUGUCCAUUACAUUCAAUAUCUGGGUUUUAGGAAAUACUACAAUUAACUAAAUUAUUCUUUUUCCAUUUUCAUUUCUGCUGCUGUCCAUCUCUGCAAAUCAUGUCAAACUUUCUGUUCCCCAAAUUUUAAUAGCUUCCAAAAGCUGUGCCCAUUUGACCUAGCUGUUGAUUAUAUACUAUAAUGUACUGCUAUUUCUUCAGAAUCAGAAUUGCAGCAUUAAUAUAUACUUCAGAAUUAUUGAUAUCCUUAGUAUUGUAAUUGGGGAAAUUGAGUCUUAGGCAUAUGAGUUACCUUGCACAGAAUCACAUGGUCAAUUUUCAACAGAGUUGAUAAGUCACAACAAAAGAGCAAAAUUUAGUUACUUCCCAUUUAAUCUGCUUCCUUUAUUUUAUACAAGUCAAUCUUCUUUUCCAAGAAAACUCGAAGCUCUUCAAGGGUAGUAACAGUGUGCAACAAAAUGCUGAGCCUACAGAAUGCAUGUAGAUUUUUUAGCUCUGGGUUGCAAUUCAGCUCUUUAAAAACUAAGCAAAAAGGAAACUAUUUUCAGUUCCACAGAAAAUAGCAUUGUAAACUACCUUAAAAACAAAACUCUUAGUGAUUCCAGUACAUUUUAUUACAAUGUGGCACUAGAUCUGGAAAACAUAUUUCUUCUGUGAUGUGAUGGUAUAAACUUAAUUAUUGAUUUUUCUCAAGACAGAAAAUUAUUUUGAAUUUGAAUUUGGAUAUGUUCUCACAGAACAAAACUCUCAUUUUAUACUAAAAUUACUUAUAUAGUGAUAUAAAUAGAGCUAUACAUGUCUGAAUGCAUAUAUUAAUUUUUCACAAAUAGAGAUGGAUAGUUAAAUCAUGGAUGAGGUGAUAAGCGAGAGAAAGAUGGGAAGAAAGAGAGACUUUGUUAGUAAUUACAUCCUUCCAUUCAGG
RNAcentral lists this long non-coding RNA (4555 nucleotides) under Sus scrofa (pig). RNAcentral's name for it is "lncRNA (ENSSSCG00000060765.1)". The record is from RNAcentral. Lineage: Eukaryota; Metazoa; Chordata; Mammalia; Artiodactyla; Suidae.